RNAcentral lists this ribosomal RNA (251 nucleotides) under uncultured bacterium. Its description in RNAcentral is "partial 16S ribosomal RNA". It matches the Rfam family "Bacterial small subunit ribosomal RNA", at positions 524 to 774 of the family's 1533-position model. The record is from RNAcentral.
UACGUAGGGAGCAAGCGUUGUCCGGAUUUACUGGGUGUAAAGGGUGCGUAGGCGGCAAUGCAAGUCAGAUGUGAAAUCUAUGGGCUCAACCCAUAAACUGCAUUUGAAACUGCGUUGCUUGAGUGAAGUAGAGGCAGGCGGAAUUCCCCGUGUAGCGGUGAAAUGCGUAGAGAUUGGGAGGAACACCAGUGGCGAAGGCGGCCUGCUGGGCUUUAACUGACGCUGAGGCACGAAAGCGUGGGUAGCAAACA